GAGACACCCUUAUGGGACAGGAUGUGCUUCAGUGGGGCUUUGGUGCUCACUGAGUCUGCCCCCUGAGUGUGUCACU
Non-coding RNA from Myotis davidii, 76 nucleotides. NCBI's taxonomy places the organism in Eukaryota, Metazoa, Chordata, Mammalia, Chiroptera, Vespertilionidae. The record is from Rfam.